This is a small nucleolar RNA of Medicago truncatula (barrel medic), 168 nucleotides long. It matches the Rfam family "small nucleolar RNA snoR143". The record is from Rfam. NCBI's taxonomy places the organism in Eukaryota, Viridiplantae, Streptophyta, Magnoliopsida, Fabales, Fabaceae.
AACUGAUUAACACAAUUUCCUUUUUAAAAAAAAAAUGAAGGAUCUGAAUGUUUUCAGAAAAACGGUGGGUUUGUUAUAAUUAGGCAGCGGCCAGACAACCGUAGAGAUGGAAUCCACAGAUGCUGAUUUUUUUUUAUCUCACCAUACUACUAAAUCCAUCUCAUAUUA